GAUGAACGCUAGCUACAGGCUUAACACAUGCAAGUCGAGGGACCGGCGCACGGGUGAGUAACACGUAUCCAACCUUCCCUUUACUCGGGGAUAGCCUUUCGAAAGAAAGAUUAAUACCCGAUAUAAAGGAUGGGGAUGCGUUCCCUUAGGUUGUUGGUGAGGUAACGUCCCACCAAGCCUUCGAUGGAUAGGGGUUCUGAGAGGAAGGUCCCCCACAUUGUAACGGAGGAAAGAGCCAAACUCCUACGGGAGGAAGAAGUGGGGAAUAUUGGUCAAUGGGCGCUAGACUGAACCAGCCAAGAAGCGUGAAGGAUGAAGGCUUAUGGGUCGUAAACUUCUUUUAUAUAAGAAUAUGUAUUAUAUGAAUAAGGAUCGGCUAACUCCGUGCCAGCAGCCGCGGUAAUAC
Molecule: ribosomal RNA, 406 nt
Filed under: uncultured bacterium
Lineage: Bacteria
Description: partial 16S ribosomal RNA
Rfam family: Bacterial small subunit ribosomal RNA
Source: RNAcentral